CAGUCGCCACGGUAAUACAGAGGGUGCGAGCGUUAAUCGGAUUUACUGGGCGUAAAGCGUGCGUAGGCGGCUUCUUAAGUCGGAUGUGAAAUCCCUGAGCUUAACUUAGGAAUUGCAUUCGAUACUGGGAAGCUAGAGUAUGGGAGAGGAUGGUAGAAUUACAGGUGUAGCGGUGAAAUGCGUAGAGAUCUGGAGGAAUACCGAUGGCGAAGGCAGCCAUCUGGCCUAAUACUGACGCUGAGGUACGAAAGCAUGGGGAGCAAACAGGAUUAGAUACCCCCGUAGUCCCUGUCUCUUAUAC
RNAcentral lists this ribosomal RNA (301 nucleotides) under uncultured bacterium. RNAcentral describes it as "partial 16S ribosomal RNA". It matches the Rfam family "Bacterial small subunit ribosomal RNA", at positions 509 to 807 of the family's 1533-position model. The record is from RNAcentral.